This 1372-nucleotide ribosomal RNA is filed under the name uncultured bacterium. RNAcentral describes it as "bacterial SSU rRNA". It matches the Rfam family "Bacterial small subunit ribosomal RNA", at positions 28 to 1381 of the family's 1533-position model. The record is from RNAcentral.
GAUGAACGCUGGCGGCGUGCCUAAUACAUGCAAGUCGAGCGAACGGACGAGAAGCUUGCUUCUCUGAUGUUAGCGGCGGACGGGUGAGUAACACGUGGAUAACCUACCUAUAAGACUGGGAUAACUUCGGGAAACCGGAGCUAAUACCGGAUAAUAUUUUGAACCGCAUGGUUCAAAAGUGAAAGACGGUCUUGCUGUCACUUAUAGAUGGAUCCGCGCUGCAUUAACUAGUUGGUAAGGUAACGGCUUACCAAGGCAACGAUGCAUAGCCGACCUGAGAGGGUGAUCGGCCACACUGGAACUGAGACACGGUCCAGACUCCUACGGGAGGCAGCAGUAGGGAAUCUUCCGCAAUGGGCGAAAGCCUGACGGAGCAACGCCGCGUGAGUGAUGAAGGUCUUCGGAUCGUAAAACUCUGUUAUUAGGGAAGAACAUAUGUGUAAGUAACUGUGCACAUCUUGACGGUACCUAAUCAGAAAGCCACGGCUAACUACGUGCCAGCAGCCGCGGUAAUACGUAGGUGGCAAGCGUUAUCCGGAAUUAUUGGGCGUAAAGCGCGCGUAGGCGGUUUUUUAAGUCUGAUGUGAAAGCCCACGGCUCAACCGUGGAGGGUCAUUGGAAACUGGAAAACUUGAGUGCAGAAGAGGAAAGUGGAAUUCCAUGUGUAGCGGUGAAAUGCGCAGAGAUAUGGAGGAACACCAGUGGCGAAGGCGACUUUCUGGUCUGUAACUGACGCUGAUGUGCGAAAGCGUGGGGAUCGAACAGGAUUAGAUACCCUGGUAGUCCACGCCGUAAACGAUGAGUGCUAAGUGUUAGGGGGUUUCCGCCCCUUAGUGCUGCAGCUAACGCAUUAAGCACUCCGCCUGGGGAGUACGACCGCAAGGUUGAAACUCAAAGGAAUUGACGGGGACCCGCACAAGCGGUGGAGCAUGUGGUUUAAUUCGAAGCAACGCGAAGAACCUUACCAAAUCUUGACAUCCUUUGACAACUCUAGAGAUAGAGCCUUCCCCUUCGGGGGACAAAGUGACAGGUGGUGCAUGGUUGUCGUCAGCUCGUGUCGUGAGAUGUUGGGUUAAGUCCCGCAACGAGCGCAACCCUUAAGCUUAGUUGCCAUCAUUAAGUUGGGCACUCUAAGUUGACUGCCGGUGACAAACCGGAGGAAGGUGGGGAUGACGUCAAAUCAUCAUGCCCCUUAUGAUUUGGGCUACACACGUGCUACAAUGGACAAUACAAAGGGCAGCGAAACCGCGAGGUCAAGCAAAUCCCAUAAAGUUGUUCUCAGUUCGGAUUGUAGUCUGCAACUCGACUACAUGAAGCUGGAAUCGCUAGUAAUCGUAGAUCAGCAUGCUACGGUGAAUACGUUCCCGGGUCU